CCCGGAAAAAAUAGAACCCACACGACGACUUAGGUCAUAUCUCCGCCUCGAGCGCAUCUCCACGAUCCAGUGCGCCCCUCCACCGCCAGCACCGGCCACCGCCCCUCCGCCGUGCGCCGCCCCCAACCCUGCGGCUUCAGUAGAUCCGCACCACCGCCGCCCUUCCUCUCCACCGUCGCCCGCGCCCGCCCGCGGUCAUCCAUCACCGCGUUCUUAAUGGCUUCGGUGACCACGGCGCCUCGGCUGCGACCCUGGCCUGCUUGACCGCCGGAUGGAUGGAUACCGGCCGAGCUCAUCCUUGGCGCUCCGGCUGCGACCCAUGGUUGAUUGGCCGCCGGCUGGAAGGGGACGUCUCCUCCCGACUAAGCUUGAUGUGGGGCGGUGGACUGACAGCCUGGUGUGUGCGGCCUGCGGACGGCACCCACUAAAUGAUGCAUCUUCUCUUGUCGUCCUCAUGCUCUCUGCCCUUAAUUUGUUAUCCUAUCUCUCUGAUUGUUGGCUACAUGCGCAGGUGUUUGAGGCAGCAGCGCACAAGCGGUGACUUGCAUCCAGUAGGUGGCAGCAAGAAGCAGCAACGACUCUGAGUUAGGUGCUAGCAAUGCACCCCCUCCCCAUUCAUCUACGUAAAUGGAUUUUCAACGGCCAAACUACCCUCUUGAUUCUUUCUUUAGUGUUUUCAGUUUUUACUAACAAUCCAUAUUUGGUAAACCGUGAAAUCUGUUCAGAAGCAUCUGCCAACAACCUGUUUGAUGUUAUGCAUACGACGGAUUGAGAUACAGUCUAAUUUUCAGGACGCGAUGUACGCCGGCACGCACACGGCAAGGUGACCCCAGCUGAAAACGUGGAGAGGCGGUCGUUUCGGGGAAGCGUAGGGAGGCGGUCGUUCCGGCGGCGGCGGCUUCCUAUGGCACGGGGUCCAACUGAGGGAGAGGGAGAGGCAUGAGAUUGCUGUGUCGCCCGAGCUGAAGGGCGCUCACGCAUCGUAUAUGUCCAGAUUAGCAAGAAAUCACUCAAAACUAAUGUGUACUACUCCCUCCGUUCCAAAAUACUUGUCUUUCUAGGCAUUUUAACAAGUGACUACAUACGGAGCAAAAUGAGUGAAUCUACACUCUAAAAUAUGUCUAUAUACAUCCGUAUGUAGUAGUCAUUUGAAAUGUCUAGAAAGACAAAUAUUUAGGAAUGGAGGGAGUAUAUGUUAUAUUCUGAUCUAUCUAUGCAUACGCCCUGUAUGGGUGAGGAGCUGCACCUUUCCAAAUUUUACAUGGCCAAAGUUCUGCAGGUGUAUGGGAUUUCUUCAGGACCAACAGCGUGGAUGUUCAGGCGAGAUAGCCACGAUGGGAACACGAUUCAUAUGCUUCAGUUCCAUCCAUGCUCAGGCCAAUAUGCAAAUUAAUGGUGGAGGACAACAGGGUCGACGAGAUGCACAAUUCCUAUGCUUCAGGCGACACAGCCAUGAUGGGAACACGACUCAUAUUCUUCAGUCUCUAUUUCGACUAAGCUGUGAUUAGAGUUAUACACUGCUUCCUUCCUGAAGUGACGAGAGAUGUCAGUUAUAUACAGAGAAGCUUGAGUGGAUGUGCGUUUGGGAUUAUACAAUUUAAAGGCCACUUUAUUUUUUGCUUUUAGUGUAUGGACCUGGAGGUUCUACCUAAUAGUAGUAGCUUAUUGACUUCUGAAAGCAAUAUAAGCCCAAUAGUCUUUGCAAAAUAAAAAACGCCAACUACUGGUUUUAUAGCCAGUUAGACCGUAUCAUCACACUAAUCUUUUCUUUUAUUGGGUUGAACUCCAGUUAUUCUGUAAUUACUACAUUAACAAACUGUUCUUCACAUUCGGUUGUGAUUUGGUUUCAAAAGUUCAUUUUUACAUUAA
Long non-coding RNA from Triticum urartu, 1869 nucleotides. RefSeq lists it as uncharacterized. Lineage: Eukaryota; Viridiplantae; Streptophyta; Magnoliopsida; Poales; Poaceae. The record is from RefSeq and is a predicted model, not a curated record.